AGAGCGAACGCUGGCGGCACGCUUAACACAUGCAAGUCGCACGGCUGGGGAAACCCAGCAGUGGCGGACAGGUGAGUAACGCGUAGGUAUCUAUCUCCGGGUGGGGGACAACUGUGGGAAACUACAGCUAAUACCGCAUGAUGCCCGAGGGCCAAAGGCGCAAGUCGCCUGGAGAGGAGCCUGCGUACGAUUAGCUUGUUGGCGGGGUAAUGGCCCACCAAGGCGACGAUCGUUAGCUGGUCUGAGAGGAUGAUCAGCCACACUGGGACUGAGACACGGCCCAGACUCCUACGGGAGGCAGCAGUGGGGAAUAUUGGACAAUGGGCGCAAGCCUGAUCCAGCAAUGCCGCGUGAGUGAAGAAGGUCUUCGGAUUGUAAAGCUCUUUCGACGGGGACGAUGAUGACGGUACCCGUAGAAGAGCCCGGCUAACUUCGCGCCAGCAGCCGCGGUAAU
Molecule: ribosomal RNA, 454 nt
Filed under: uncultured bacterium
Lineage: Bacteria
Description: SSU rRNA
Rfam family: Bacterial small subunit ribosomal RNA
Source: RNAcentral